RNAcentral lists this ribosomal RNA (138 nucleotides) under uncultured bacterium. Its description in RNAcentral is "partial 16S ribosomal RNA". It matches the Rfam family "Bacterial small subunit ribosomal RNA", at positions 356 to 509 of the family's 1533-position model. The record is from RNAcentral.
GGGGGAUAUUGCACAAUGGGGGAAACCCUGAUGCAGCGACGCCGCGUGAGUGAAGAAGUAUUUCGGUAUGUAAAGCUCUAUCAGCAGGGAAGAAAAAAGACGGUACCUUGACUAAGAAGCCCCGGCUAACUACGUGCC